Dermochelys coriacea (leatherback sea turtle) is the source of this 224-nucleotide long non-coding RNA. RefSeq lists it as uncharacterized. NCBI's taxonomy places the organism in Eukaryota, Metazoa, Chordata, Testudines, Dermochelyidae. The transcript is spliced from 3 exons. The record is from RefSeq and is a predicted model, not a curated record.
CUUUUGCUGGGAACAGAUCAGGAAUGCUCUUCAGAAUUCCUGUAAAAAGGGGCUACUGUUUUAAGGAGAAUUACAACAGGAAAUGCAGCUGUAAGGUCAGGAAGAUCAAAGCUGCAGCCAGAGAAACAGGAUGCUCUUUUUCAAGAUAUAUCUGGUGAUAUUUUAUAUUUCAUAUGGGGGGAAAGGACCAUAUAGGUCCAUACCCAAUAGCAAAAAAUAUGAAC